This 393-nucleotide ribosomal RNA is filed under the name Triticum aestivum (bread wheat). RNAcentral describes it as "partial small subunit ribosomal RNA". The record is from RNAcentral. Lineage: Eukaryota; Viridiplantae; Streptophyta; Magnoliopsida; Poales; Poaceae.
UAUACCAGUGCUAAUUUGGCAAAGAUCUACAUGACUAGGAUCAUUUGUUUGCAUGGAGUUCCAAGGAGUAUCGUAUCAGAUAGAGGAACCCAAUUUACCUCAAAGUUUUGGAAUCAGUUGCAUGAAACUUUAGGAACCAGACUAGAGUUCAGCACAGCUUUUCAUCUGCAGACAGAUGGACAGACCGAGAGAGUCAAUCAGAUUUUGGAAGAUAUGCUGAGAGCUUGUGCACUAGAUUAUGGAUCUAGUUGGGACGAUAACUUGCCGUAUGCGGAGUUUUCUUAUAACAACAGUUACCAAACCAGUUUGAAGAUGGCACCUUUCGAAGCUUUAUACGGAAGGAGGUGCAGGACACCGUUGUCAUGGGACGAAGUUGGAGACCGUCAAUUCUUU